UGAGGAAUAUUGGUCAAUGGACGCAAGUCUGAACCAGCCAAGUAGCGUGCAGGAUGACGGCCCUAUGGGUUGUAAACUGCUUUUAUAUGGGGAUAAAGUGGGGAACGUGUUCCCUUUUGCAGGUACCAUAUGAAUAAGGAACGGCUAAUUCCGUGCCAGCAGCCGCGGUAAUACGGAAGGUUCGGGCGUUAUCCGGAUUUAUUGGGUUUAAAGGGAGCGUAGGCCGUUUGGUAAGCGUGUUGUGAAAUGUAGGAGCUCAACUUCUAGAUUGCAGCGCGAACUGUCAGACUUGAGUGCACACAACGUAGGCGGAAUUCAUGGUGUAGCGGUGAAAUGCUUAGAUAUCAUGAAGAACUCCGAUUGCGAAGGCAGCUUACGGGAGCGCAACUGACGCUGAAGCUCGAAGGUGCGGGUAUCGAACAGG
RNAcentral lists this ribosomal RNA (424 nucleotides) under Verrucomicrobiota bacterium. RNAcentral's name for it is "Verrucomicrobia bacterium partial 16S ribosomal RNA". It matches the Rfam family "Bacterial small subunit ribosomal RNA", at positions 355 to 776 of the family's 1533-position model. Lineage: Bacteria; Pseudomonadati; Verrucomicrobiota. The record is from RNAcentral.